CCAGACUUGACAUGCAAGUGGUAGAGGACCGAAAGGCGAUCGACCCGCAAGGGAGCUUGCACAGGUGUUGCACGGCUGUCGUCAGCUCGUGUCGUGAGAUGUUGGGUUAAGUCCCGCAACGAGCGCAACCCUCGCGGCCUGUUGUAUCACUCAGGCCGGACUGCCGAGAGAAACUCGGAGGAAGGUGGGGAUGACGUCAAGUCAGCGUGGCCCUUACGUCUGGGGCUACACGCACGCUACAAUGACCGGUCACAGCGAGUUGCGACUGCGUGAGCAGAAGCUAACCUCUGAAAACCGGCCUCAGUUCAGAUCGAAGGCUGAAACCCGCCUUCGUGAAGUCGGAGUUGCUAGUAACCGCGGGUCAUCACACCGCGGUGAAUAUGUUCCC
This 388-nucleotide ribosomal RNA is filed under the name uncultured soil bacterium. Its description in RNAcentral is "bacterial SSU rRNA". It matches the Rfam family "Bacterial small subunit ribosomal RNA", at positions 975 to 1375 of the family's 1533-position model. The record is from RNAcentral.